GGAGGCGGGAGGCCCGCGCAGUGGACAGCAGACGCGGGGCGCCUGGGUCCCCCAAACGUGAAGUACAAACCUUCGCGCGCUUCGCCACUGGACUGCGGCGCUCGUCCCUCGGCCUAGCGAGCCUGCAUGUAAGGACGCCGGCCCCAGCGGAGCGCCAGCUCGCCAUCUGACUGCACAACUGUGUGUGACGGGAAGCGGAGAAUUUAAACCUGGCUCCAGAAAAGGCAGACCCCUGCCCAUCCCAUCCCGAUUUCAUCUCAGAUCCGAGCAUUCCACAGUCUUUGGGGCUGCUAGACCAGCUCUUGCUCCCGAGUGCCAGGUCCAUACUUCCAGACACUUAUUGGAUGUCUCCAUCGCGAGGUCGCACAGAGAACUAAUUGAUUCAUCGUUGCAUCUCCCCUCCACCACGACCCUGCUCCUCCCCGUUGGGUUCCCUGCUUUGAUUAAGGACAAGAACACUGAAGUACCUUGAGGAAACGAAAAAGGAAGAGGUGAAUUCCAAACCUCCAAAAUGCAGUGCCCACUUUCAGGAUGAACACCACAACUUAAUUCCUGAUGAAGAAUGGUUACGGAAUUUCACCUUCACAGCCCUUACAACACUACUAAGAUUUGCAAGAACAGAAUAGCCAUAGGGAUGGACUCAGGAAUUUUCUUGCCUUUUCCAAAUGACUUCCAGAUGAUUAAAUUCAGAAUGAGAAGAAUUAAAGAUCCAAACCUUAAAAUUCA
Molecule: long non-coding RNA, 726 nt
Organism: Diceros bicornis minor
Lineage: Eukaryota; Metazoa; Chordata; Mammalia; Perissodactyla; Rhinocerotidae
Exons: 2
Source: RefSeq, a predicted model, not a curated record